GGAACUGUGGUGUAGCUGGUCUAACACACCGGCCUGUCAAGCCGGAGAUCGCGGGUUCGAGUCCCGUCAGUUCCGCCA
Molecule: transfer RNA, 78 nt
Filed under: Thermacetogenium phaeum DSM 12270
Lineage: Bacteria; Bacillati; Bacillota; Clostridia; Thermoanaerobacterales; Thermoanaerobacteraceae
Also listed under: 1 other name
Description: tRNA-Asp (GTC) (tRNA-Asp-GTC-1-1)
Rfam family: tRNA
About the family: Transfer RNA (tRNA) molecules are approximately 80 nucleotides in length. Their secondary structure includes four short double-helical elements and three loops (D, anti-codon, and T loops). Further hydrogen bonds mediate the characteristic L-shaped molecular structure. tRNAs have two regions of fundamental functional importance: the anti-codon, which is responsible for specific mRNA codon recognition, and the 3' end, to which the tRNAs corresponding amino acid is attached (by aminoacyl-tRNA synthetases). tRNAs cope with the degeneracy of the genetic code in two manners: having more than one tRNA (with a specific anti-codon) for a particular amino acid; and 'wobble' base-pairing, i.e. permitting non-standard base-pairing at the 3rd anti-codon position.
Source: RNAcentral